AUGGCGAUUCUUGCUUCACGACACAUACCCGUCUCACCACAGUGCCCUAUUUGUCGGUCGGGUCCGGAGAAUAUUCGGCCCUUGUUAUUUACAUGCACUCGUGCAUGGAAGGUUUGGUCUGCGCUCGGGCUCCUGGAUAUCAUUGAUGAUGCACUAAUUGCAGACAUGUCAGGAUCAGUAGUACUUGAGCAUAUUAUUUGCAACCCAAACAAGAAGUCACCGGUCCUGGGUAUGUUAGGAUUGCAGGAGUCAGUAGCCGUUGCGUGUUGGUACGUAUGGUGGCAAAGGAGGGAAGCAGUGAAGGGCGAAACUGUAGCAGAUCCCCCCCGGACGGCCUUUGUGAUUCAGGCUGUAACAUCAAAUUUUGGAGCUGUUUCCCAUUCCAGUAAACCACAUGAAAUAACGUGGGAAAAGCCAAGGCGAGGAUGUUAUAAAUUAAAUACAGAUGCUGCUUUUCGCCAAGAUGGUUCGCGUGCAGUUGGGGUCGUCAUACGUAAUAGUGCAGGUGAGGCUGUAGCAGGAGCUGCAAGUCCUUUUCAUACGGCCUUUGAUAUUGACUCGGCGGAGGCCCUUGCACUGCUAAAAGGACUAGAAUUAGUUGAGAAGUUGGGCUGCACCCAUAUCACAUGUGAGUCCGAUUCAUUGGAGCUCAUUCAGGCAUGCAAUGGGGAGCUGGAGAUCUAUGGUCUUUAUUCUGCGACUUUAGCUGACUGCUUUGCGAGAGCCAAGAUGAUUGAUGGAGUUUCUUUCUCCCACUGCCCUAGGGAAGUCAAUCGAGUUGCUCACCUUCUGGCGAAGCACUCUUAUGAUACUUAG
Molecule: ribosomal RNA, 816 nt
Filed under: Triticum aestivum (bread wheat)
Lineage: Eukaryota; Viridiplantae; Streptophyta; Magnoliopsida; Poales; Poaceae
Description: partial small subunit ribosomal RNA
Source: RNAcentral